AGGGAAGAGUCGCGGUUUCACCCGUGGAGCACGCAGGAGGAGAGAAGCUUGCAGUACAGCGGGGUCCGGGGCUCAGACCAUGGGAGCCUGCAGGACCCGAGUUGUGCCUCAGAGCCGUGCGAGGUCUGGACUCUGCCUUGGGAACUGGAGUUCUCCCGAGUAAAACCCACGAAGAGCAUCACAGGAGGCUGCGGGAUCCGGGGAAGCCCUGCUCCCCGGGAGCCCACGAAGAGACUUCCAGGAGCGUGGAAUCGAUGGACAGACUGACAAGACAGCAAAGGCCAGGCUCUGGGAGGUCUAGGACUCCGUGACCGCCCCGCCUCCCCCAGCCUCCCUCCCCUUCCCCCACUACCUGAGGCUCUGAAGCUUCCCGCUUCCUGGCUGAAACUCAGAUCUGGCAGCUCUGUGCCAAUGACUGGCUGAGUAGCUGAACUCAGGCCUCACAUGAGAGAUGCUUGCUCUCACAUCAUUCUAGGGAGAAGCUUGCCCUGAUAGUAUCUACCGAUUGACAUCCCGAUAUCAACACCUUCCAUGCUCACACCGCACCCCCGGGUGCCCCUCACUUCCUCUGCAUGGCUGGGCAGCCUCUCACCGCUGUGUUCCCUCAUUCCACCUGCGAGUGGGGAAAAUCAAUAUUUUCGAGGAAUGAAUGGACAUGUCUUUCUCUGUCAGGUGAGCCUACUUAAGGAGACAACUCAAGUGAGAAGAAAUCUUGGCUACUGAAGCUUAGGAUGAGCCAAGUUGGAAACACCUCCAGUCCGUGUGCAAGGCAGCAGAGGGGUCACGUGACCGGCGCAUCUCCGCUUCUCCUCGUGCUUCGUUGUGUUUUGUUUUGUUUUUUUCCCCCAAAGCUGUGGGGGUCGAAUGACCCUUUCACAGGGGUCACGUA
Mus caroli (Ryukyu mouse) is the source of this 889-nucleotide long non-coding RNA. RefSeq lists it as uncharacterized. The record is from RefSeq and is a predicted model, not a curated record. NCBI's taxonomy places the organism in Eukaryota, Metazoa, Chordata, Mammalia, Rodentia, Muridae.